CCUGAAUACUUCCCCAGGCAAAUACAUUUGAUUUUCCUAAGAAAAUGACAAAUCUUUAACUAGUUUUUCUCUUGUCAGAUCUUUUUCAUGACUUCAUCUAACAAACAAAUUACUCACAUAUCUAACGGCCCAAAUGCAUCAUCAGAGUAUUGUGGAUCUCCUAUAAUGGAAUCAAACUUUGGUCUUGCAGGUUGACCUCUCCCGAGAGGGAAGUUCCAAAAGGAAUCAGAAUUCUCAAAGAAAAUGUAAAAUGCAACAGCGGACGCCAAAAAUAGCCCUACAAGCAACAAAUAAAUCUGCCAUUCUUUCCAAUCUGCAGGAACAUUUAGCUUAGUCACCACGGCCCCCCAUUCAUUGGAAGUGCUUAGUACAACCCUUUGAUUGGGACAGAACUCUAGGGAUGUCAUGCAUGUACCCAAGUGCAGCCUCUUGCUAUAGUGCUUAACCUCCAUUUUCUUUACUUCAGCUACACAAAUGUCCCCAUCCUUGCUUCCUAGAGCAAGAUAUUUCCCAUCCUGGCUGACAGACAUUACACAAGCAGGUUUCUUAAGCAGCCUCUUAUACCCUAUUUUAUUCCAUGUACUUAUGUCGUAAACAGCAGUAAUAGCUUUGUCACCUCUUUGAACAGCACAGAAUAAAAAUGGUUUUGUCCCAUCCUUAGAGAACCGACAUAAUUCAAUCUUCUCAUCCGAUUUGCGAGAUAAAGUAGUUACAGGCACACCAUCUUCCAUAUUCCAUAUUCUCGCAGAACCAUCAGAAGAUGUUGAUGCUAAAAAUGCUGAAUCCAGGCUAAUAUCCAUAUCCCUGAAGGAUUUGUGUGCUGUUGGUUCAUCUAAAAUUAUGCGUUGGCUAGGCCACUCCAAAAUUCUGAGAUGCCCAUCCACCCCACCAGUAACAAAUCUAGAUCCAUCAACACUAAAGGCUAGGCAUUUUUGUGGACCAACAUCUUGUAAAGGAGGUAAUUGUUUUGCCAACACCUUCAAAUUUGUUUCUUCAUUACGCAACUCAAACAAUUUGCAGCCACCUUUGGUUGUAGAACACACAAUAUCAUCCCCACUGGGAUGUACAGCAAUUGUUACUGGAUCACCUUCAGUUCCUUCAAGCACAUGCGUAGCCAAGGGAGAGGAAGAGAUAGACGUAGUAUCG
RNAcentral lists this unclassified non-coding RNA (1146 nucleotides) under Hevea brasiliensis (rubber tree). The record is from RNAcentral. Lineage: Eukaryota; Viridiplantae; Streptophyta; Magnoliopsida; Malpighiales; Euphorbiaceae.